CUUCGAUGUCGUCGUCGUCGUCGUCGUCUUCACGACCGCUGUGCCACCACGCGAUGCACCACAUCUUCAACCACAUCCACGAUAGAGGGGUCUAUUGAAUGAAGUCUUGGAGUUGAAUGAAGGCUAUACAUAUUUGAGGAUCAAUAUACUAUGAAUAAUAAGGUGUAGUGUUGCAAGUUGGAAUGAGAGAAUGCUGCACUUAAUAUAGGAGACAGCGAUAUGCGUGGAAUUCAUGUCCUCGGCUCCUGUGCUAGACUCGCUCCUAGGCCUCUUGCAGUCCUCCAUGUCCAACGCCUCAUCGCUAAUUGAAAACAAGCAAAGUAAUUAUUUAGAGAGUCUGCAAACAAUGAUAACAUAAAUGAAAUUAACUAGUAAUACUACACUGACAGUGGAGGCAGCAUUUUUAUCUUCUAUGGAGGAAAAAUGAAAAAAUAGAGACUUGGAGAGGAAGUCAGUGAACAUCCAAGAUGGCGUCAGAGAACUUACUUUGUUAGAAGAGAAGAAGAAUCUUGGAAGCAAUUUGAAGAUAGAAAAAUGUGAAAUUACUUAGGAAAUUUGAGAAUUGAGAAAUUUGGAAGUUGAGGAAUUUAAAGAUUGAAAAUUUGGAACUUUGAAAAGUACCUGAGAAAUAUUUGAAAAUGAGGAGAUUAAAGAACAGAGAGAUUGAAGACAGGGAAUUAAGAGUAGGGAAAUAAAAGAGAAGGAAAUUAGGAAAUUUAGAAACAGGAAUUAGGAGAAUUUCUAAAUUGAGAAAUUUGGAAGUUGAGGAAUUUAGAUUUUGAAAAUUUAGAACUUUGAAAAGUACCUGAGAAAUAUUUGAAAAUGAGGAGAUUAAAGAACAGGGGGAUUGAAGGCAGGGAAUUAGGAGUAGGGAAAUUAGUUAAUUUAGAAACAGGAACUAGAAGAAUUUCUAAAUUGAGAAACUCGUAACUAGGGGCAUUUUUAAAUAGAAUUUCUAGGUACAGUCCUAGGCUAAUUAUAAAUUAAUAAUUACAUGAAGGAAUAAAUAUUUAUUACCAAGCAUAUAAUUCAUACCAAUAUCCAGGCAGCCAUUGCCAUCAUCGCUGCAAAAAUGCCCAUGGAUGUGUAAGCGAACAUAGUCAAACACACCACAAUGUCCUGGUGAAGAGAUCAUUUUGGAUAUUUACGUUCCUGUAAGAACGAUAACUCGUAUUCAUAAUUUCUAUACUCGUAUCUAUAAUUUUGUUGAAAAAACAGCAUUGUGAGAAAAAUGUUUGUUUGAAACUCUUUUUCGAUAAAUUAUCAGUAUGAAAAGAAAAAUGGCGCAUUGUUCUCCAUAUUGAAUAUAACAUUGUUAUCUGAACGAGCGAAAGACUCGACAGUUGUCAUACAAAGAAAGACCGUAAAAAGGUAGCUAAAGAGGUGGCCUAUCCGGUAAUAUAACGAGAGUGUGCAGUGAGAGAUCGGUGCUACUCGACUCUUAAUUAGGAGGGACAUAAUAGGAUCGUACAGCGUGGAUGGUUAAUGAAAACAGCCUCGCCAGUCGUGAACAUGAUGGCUGAAUUCUAUCUUUCACCAGCAGCUUUCCGUAGUU
Molecule: long non-coding RNA, 1555 nt
Organism: Megachile rotundata (alfalfa leafcutting bee)
Lineage: Eukaryota; Metazoa; Arthropoda; Insecta; Hymenoptera; Megachilidae
Source: RefSeq, a predicted model, not a curated record